GUGCCAGCCGCCGCGGUAAUACGGAGGGUGCGAGCGUUAAUCGGAAUAACUGGGCGUAAAGGGCAUGCAGGCGGGUCAUUAAGUUAGGUGUGAAAUCCCCGGGCUCAACCUGGGAACUGCACUUAAAACUGGUGGUCUGGAGUAUUGUAGAGGAAGGUAGAAUUCCACGUGUAGCGGUGAAAUGCGUAGAGAUGUGGAGGAAUACCUGUGGCGAAAGCGGCCUCCUAGACGAAUACUGACGCUGAGGUGCGAAAGCGUGGGGAGCAAACAGGAUUAGAAACCCUAGUAGUCC
This 292-nucleotide ribosomal RNA is filed under the name Serratia endosymbiont of Prociphilus sp. RNAcentral describes it as "partial 16S ribosomal RNA". It matches the Rfam family "Bacterial small subunit ribosomal RNA", at positions 505 to 796 of the family's 1533-position model. The record is from RNAcentral. Lineage: Bacteria; Pseudomonadati; Pseudomonadota; Gammaproteobacteria; Enterobacterales; Yersiniaceae.